CCCGCACUCGACACAGACCUUCUCAGCGGCACUCAGGGUACCCCAUCAGCCUCGGGUGGGGCGGUCCAAUAAAGGGCAGGCACGGACUCUCCACACACGCCACUAAGCACCACAUGGAGGAGCUGGCCAAGUCACUGCAGCAGGCGCAGGCCGCGGUUCUGGGUGCGCAGGAUGAGCUCGCGCUUCUCCGUGCAUAUGUGGAGGAGGAAGCAGAAGGGCGGGGUGCCGACAACGUUGCCAAGGCUGCGGCGGUUGGCCUCGAGACAGGCGUCGCCCUGGAUAACCCGUACUACGUGGAUCUGCAUACCUCCGUGCAUCGGAGGCAGGAGGCGGCCUCGCUGCUGCUCCAGCGCUGCGCACACAUCUUUUACGAACAGUUCGGCGCUCUUGAGGAGAAGGCGGCGCGCCUGGAGAAUGUCCGGGUAAAAGAGAAGGAGCUACAGUCGGCCAAGAAGAGCAUGCAGCGGUACUUCGAUGCGCACUCGAAGGAGCUGGCAGAGGAACGCGACCGCCACGAUGGAGCGCUCCGACUCGAGUGGGAGCGCCGGCAUCACCUCGAAGACGGCAUUCUGCGUCUCAAGCUAGAACGGCGCCAGCAGCGCCUCGCGCACAGCGUGUUGCUCAUGUGGAUGAAGAAAGCAAUGGUGCGCAACCUCGCUCGCGAGUACACGCGGCGGCGGGAAGCUGCUCGAGAGACGUACCAAUCCGCCACCUGCGACGCACUCGUCCAGCGGCAGCGAGUGACGGCAGCGCGACGGGCGCUUUUCACGUGGCGGUCUCGAGUGCAGCAGCGCCGCUGCCAGCGUCUCAAGACCGCAGCGGCAGAGGCGGAGCAGCGAGCGCAGUUUUUCCGUGGCGAGCUCGCCGCCACCCAGCAGAAUCUGCAUGCGCGUCUCAACAGGGACGUCGGCGAGCGCGACCGCAUCGCCACCGCGGUAGCAACUCAAGAGAAGGAAUGCGCCCAGUACGAGGACGAAGUGCUUCGCCUUCGCACAGCUCUGCGGGACAUGACCGUGGAGUUUAGCGAGCGCACACGUACGUACGUCCGUCAGCAGGAGGCCGCUGAGCAGCUCUUCGCACGCAAGGAGGCGACGCUUCGCGACACCGUGUGCAGCCUGCAGGCAGCGCUGACCACCGAGCAGCAUGCGCAUGCUGCGCUCGCGGAGUCAUCUGAGCACUUUCUCGACCACGUGAACGCUUGCUGGAAGGCGCAGCUGCAGGAGGUGGCCGAGGCGGUGCGGCGCAAGGAGGAGUACGCACACCACACCAUCCUAGGACUCAUCGGCCGUCUGCAGCACCGCCAUGGCAGCCUACGGCAGGAGGCGGCUAAGCUGGCACGCGACGUCGAUACACUUGCCCCGCUGAGUGAGCGCUGCGUGCGGUUGGAGAAUGCACUCGCCGAGUCCGAGCAGCUGCUCAAGCGAAGCAAGGCAUCCAGCCAGUCAUGGGAACGACGCUGUAAAGCUGCACAUGUGGUGGAGGCACUCCUAACGGAUCGCGUCGCCUCCGCGGAGAGUGCGGCGCUGCGGGCCCGGUCCUUCAUCCGGUGGCUGGGUCAUAGCCACACCACUUCUAGCGAGAAGUCGCAGCGUAGCAUCUGCAGCCUCUCGGACAAAAUGGAGACCCAACGUCGUCAACUGCUCGUCCAGCAGCAAGAGCAGUCCUCGCGUCACCACGCAGAGGUGGCGCAGCUUCGCGACGAGCUGGAGCAGCUGCGUCGCGCAAACGUGCGACUGCAGUCGCAGCUGGAGGCCGCCGCACGCACGCAACGCGAGCGAGAUGGCGCCUACUACGACAGUGAGGUGCGGAACGGCGAGCUGUCAGCGGCUAUGCUGCGGGAGAAGAUGGAGCGGCGCGGCGUGGAGGACAAAUGGUGGAGCAGUCGUGCCUCUGGCCUGCUGUUGCAGGAAGCGCAGCAGCGGCUGUACAUUGAGGCGCACGAGGGGCAGUGGUGGACAACGCUGCUCACGCGUGAGAGCAAAGUACUGAAGGUGUGGACGGCUUCUCUGCACGGCGACGCGGCACAGCUCACAGCCGUGUGCGAGGGCUGGCAGCAGCAUUGCCACCAGAUCGAAGCAGCACAUGCUGCGGUGCGAAAAACCGCGACUGCGCGGACGGCGUGUGCCCUGGAGCGAGGGGUAUUGUACGCGCAGACACUGGCUGUGUGGACCACGUGGCGAGAUUGGGCACGGCAGAGGCGCGGCGUGGCCGCGUUAGAGGCGCGAUUGUCGGCAUCCAGAAGGGAGAUGAUGGAGCGGCACGGCAAGGAGUUGGCACGCGCGCACACCAGCCACGACACGGCGUUGCAGCGCCUACAGCGCGAGCACAUGCUGGAGAAGACACAGCUGCAGUCCAUCCACCAGGAACGAUGUGCAGCCCUGCGGCGUGCGCAGGCGAAGGAGGUGGAACAACUCGCCGAGCGACAUGCACAGCAGCUCAAGAUCGCGCAGACAGCCUACGCCGCGGAUGUCGCACAGCGGGACGAACAGGCAGGUACGAUGCAAGCGCAGCUGGACCACGUGGGCUGCCUUGUGGUAGAGUACUGCGCUCAGGCAACCUACAGCCGAUGGCGUGCAUGGGCCGCAGAGCGGCAGGCGCAGCGCACGGCCCGGCAGCGCCGAGGAAUGAUCAUGCGAAUAUGGGAAUGGCAAACUGUCAGGACAACGCUGAUCGACGCCUGCGCAGCUGCCAAGGCUUCUCUGUGGGCAUCCUUCACUAUCGAGAUUGCGCAGGAGCGUGCGGUGGAAGUGCGGCGGCAGGUGCGGCAUGCGGCUCAGGAGAAGGAGCUGUGCCACUCCCAGCAGCACAAGCUGCAGGCAGCGAAGGAGGUGGCGGAGGAGGAGGCGGCCUACUUGCGAGGAGAGCUGCAACACGUGCGCACGCUGUAUGACGCGGAGGUACACUACACGGAGCUGCUGCUGCGUACCGCCACCGAGGAGCGGCGUGCCCGCCGCAGCACUCUCGUCUUUACUGCUCGAAUGGCCGAGUGGCGAGAGUUGGCGCACGGCAGCCUUGCGGAGCAUCAGGCAGCUGCGAUGGAGGCUUUCGCGGAUGCGGCUGGGAAGGCUGUGACAGAGGUUUCGGUAGCGCGCAGAGAUGAGCUUGCUGCCUACGCGGCACAGGCGGAGGAGGAGGAGGUGGUGCGCAACGCACGCGUCAGCGGUGCAAUCGCGCCGUCGCCAGAAGAAACCGGCGCGGAAAAGACGCGCACCUCCGAUGGCGACAGCGCACUUGACGUGAGCGGGCGGGCACCUGGCGAGCGUGAGGUGGACGCAAACAACGCGGAAGUGACUACUGGCGAUGGUGGUGGUCAGCGCCGCUCCACCGGCGCAAUGGCCAUGACGCCGCCACUUGUGCAGCUCGUCCCUGAAGACCUGGUGCCGCGCCUUCGGUCGAUCGAGAGUUACGUGACGGCCACAGGUGACUCAUGUGAAGCGGAGUGCGAAGCCGACACCACCCCUUCAGCGCAGUGCGGUCCCCUCCUUGCUGAGCCUUUCCUUGAAGCGCUGGCGCUGUCGUCUCCUCAUCUGACCGCUGCGUUCAGCCACCAGGUGGGACAGGCCGAUGUGCCCUCGACGGUGCGCCACCUCCUUGAACUUGUGCGCCUGGCAGCGCUGCGUGGGGCUGCUGCGCACAGACGCGAUCACGCGGCCGAACUCGCUAUCAUCCAGGAGAAGCGGGCUCACUCUGAGGAGGCGCUGGCGAGCCUGCGAGAGAGCAUGAGGGGCCUACUGGCGGAGCAGCGUUCUCUUGCAGGGGAGAUGCACGCGGACGCUCAGCAACAACGACAACAGUAUCCCACUUCCCGAGAGGCCGGCUCGGCGCAGGCGUCCCUAGCGUCGACGGAGUCGUGGCAGGAGCGGCUGAGCGCGCUUGCGGACCGGUAUACCCGAGCGCUAGACGCCUUCUACGUCGACACCACGGGCCGCGAGGAGACAUUUUAUAGCGUGAGCGGCGUGCUGGUGGAGGCCGAUGAGUUCUCGGAGAGAUUGCUGCAGCGCUUCUCGGAGAAUGCGAGUGCGAUGGCGCAGCUGCGGGCGCAAGUUCUCGCUCACGUACCAGGAAUCGCAUCCGCUCAUCAGAGGGGUGCCGGCCCCGAUGCCACCUUACCUGCAGACGUGGCGGCUGCGGUGAGGACGGUGCCACCCUCAUCGCCGGAGCCGAAAGCGCCGUCGCUACCCGUGACCCCGCCCUCGUCACCUGGGCUUCCCGACAACCCCAUUCAGGCUGCUUGUUCGCAGCGCAGCUCCCUCGGCGCCACCACCAGCGCUGUGGGCUCCACCACCUCGCCCGCCGGCUCUACACCAGAGAGGCACGGGCUGCGCGAUCGCGUGCGAUUCCUCGAGAGGCUUCUUGUCGAAACGAAAGUGCAGCUGGCGGAGGCAAAGUCGCUGGUUGGAGUGGCCCAUCGCGCCGCCUCCCUCUCCAAGGCAUCCGCUGAGGCGCAGGUGUGGGCCGCUCAGGAUGCCGAGGACUUUAGCCAGCUGGCGCUGUCUAAGGAGCAGCUCCUCGUUCUCUACGCCGCCUCGGAGUCGACCACGCGCACGCUCAUGACGGCGAUGCGCGAGUACGACACGCAGCUGCGCGGCACGCAGGCGGAGAUGUCGCAGCAGCUGCGAACAGCGUGCGCCGCGGUUGAGGAAGCGCUGCAGGCGCGCCACCGCGUCGAUGUGGAGCGCUACGAGGCGAAGGUGCGCGCCUUGUCCGACUCCCUCGCCGCGGCUGCGAGGGAGCAGUCCAGAGCGGAGGCCCGCUACGGAGAGCUGGAACAGCAGCUGAAGUCAGAGGCGGCGAGCUGGGCCGAAAAGUACUCGCGUGACACACAGCUCAUACGGCAGAGCUGCCUGUCCGAAAUCGACGAGCUGGCGGGCCACCAGCGGCUGCUGGAGGACGAGCUCCAGCAAUGCCGGCGCGCCACCCAGUCAUCUAUCCAGCGGGCUGUGGAACGCCAAACGGAACUGCUGAGGCUCGAGCACACGGAGAAGCUGCGCCGCUCCGAGAGGAACGUGGCACGACUGGCCACUGAAAAGGCAUUGCUGGAGGGCCGCCUGCGGUCCGUCGAGGAGGACUGCGAGCGGCAAGUGCAGCAGGAGCGGGCAGCGGUGGCGCGCCUUCAACAUGGGCUGGCAGGCGAUGCGGGUGCUGCUGCAGAGAUGGCCUGUGUGGCGACGUUGGCGAGUUUCGAGAUGCAUCUCUUCGGCGCCACAGAACUGUAUGCGCGGUGCGCGACGGAGAAGGCGGCGUGGCUAACCGCGUGUGUUGCUGGCCUGAUGGAGCAGGAGCGGGAGCAGUGGGAGACGGAGGUGAUGCAGCUGCGCGAGCGUGUGGCGUUUCUGCUAGAAGCCUCAGGUGCUGACCCCGCAGCGCCUGCGCGUGACGGCUCCUUUCAUCAAGGGUCGAGGAACGUGCAGGAAAGCGGCAGGACCACCAGUCCCCAGGAUAAGGCGGAGAACUCGUCGCAGGCCCUCACGGUCUCACCAUCUCCCCGCCGCAGCAACCAAGGUGUCUCGUCGGGAGAGGGUGGUGCAAGCAUCGCUGCGUGGGGCAUCACCGCACAGAGCAGCCCUCGACGCGCAGUCUCCAGCCCCUCAGCAGCGAAGACGUCUCGCGGAACCCAAGGUACCAUGUCGCUAGCUUCACAUGACACGACCCCCACACGAUGCCGAAGUCUGUCUGUCGACUCGCUGGAGCUGUCACAGUCCUUCCUCCGCUACUCAAAAAUGUUGAGCGACCAGCGGUCACGGAACGCAACGCGGCUGGAGCGGGCAAACGCGCUGGCCGCCGAGGUUGACGAUCUCCUCUUGCGCGGCGCCCAGCUCGGCCAUUCAGCGGCCUCGCAGAGCGCUCGCUAGAUCGGCAGAGAAGUGAGGGGAGUGCAGUAAGCGAGGGAAGACGGCGUGAUGCACAGCGUGUAAAUGCCAUCAUAACGGGGUGUCGUUUCGUGUGCCGCAAGGAAGGCGUUUCGGGGUGGUGUUUUUCUUUCGCCUUCGUCAGCUCAGCUGCUCAGCCGACUUGUUUCCUUCCAAUGCGAAUCCUGCAGACGGUGCCCCUGCUCCAUAUGUUCCGACACCUCUUCUACCGCCACUACUGCCACCUUCUCUACCCUCAUGUUGUUUGCUGCAGCACGCGCUUCGGCUCUUCCGUUCGCUCCUUCUCGCUCUCGUCCGCCUGCAUCCUCCUCUCUGUCUUUUGGUGCUCGUGCUGGUGCGUGUGCGUGCAUCUCUUCUCUCUGCGCUCCACUACCGCGUUAGAGUACAUUUUCUUUCUCCCUCUGCACAUGUGCACAACUGAGACUUGAAGAUUAGACUUGACGGACUCGACUU
Molecule: unclassified non-coding RNA, 6323 nt
Filed under: Leishmania donovani
Lineage: Eukaryota; Euglenozoa; Kinetoplastea; Trypanosomatida; Trypanosomatidae
Description: gene:LdHU3.31.5310(CDS-product:hypothetical_prote in_conserved)
Source: RNAcentral